ACAAGCGGUGGAUGAUGUGGUUAAUUCGAUGCAACGCGAAAACCUUACCACCUUGACAUGUACGGAACCUUUAGAGAUAGAGGGUGCUCGAAAGAGAGCCGUAACACAGGUGCUGCAUGGCUGUCGUCAGCUCGUGUCGUGAGAUGUUGGGUUAAGUCCCGCAACGAGCGCAACCCUUGUCAUUAGUUGCUACAUUCAGUUGGGCACUCUAAUGAGACUGCCGGUGACAAGCCGGAGGAAGGUGGGGAUGACGUCAAGUCCUCAUGGCCCUUAUAGGUGGGGCUACACACGUCAUACAAUGGUCGGUACAGAGGGUUGCCAACCCGCGAGGGGGAGCUAAUCCCACAAAGCCGAUCGUAGUCCGGAUCGCAGUCUGCAACUCGACUGCGUGAAGUCGGAAUCGCUAGUAAUCGUGGAUCAGCAUGUCACGGUGAAUACGUUCCCGGGUCUU
This 451-nucleotide ribosomal RNA is filed under the name uncultured Rhodoferax sp. RNAcentral describes it as "bacterial SSU rRNA". It matches the Rfam family "Bacterial small subunit ribosomal RNA", at positions 925 to 1382 of the family's 1533-position model. Lineage: Bacteria; Pseudomonadati; Pseudomonadota; Betaproteobacteria; Burkholderiales; Comamonadaceae. The record is from RNAcentral.